Mus spicilegus (steppe mouse) is the source of this 1261-nucleotide long non-coding RNA. Lineage: Eukaryota; Metazoa; Chordata; Mammalia; Rodentia; Muridae. The record is from Ensembl.
GCACUUUCCUAAGGUUUAUUGUAUAUUUCUUCUAUGGGAAAAAGUUAACUCUAUCCCAGUGUACCUCUAGGCGUUUAAGUACUGAGAAAGGUUCUUUUCUUCCCCCGUUGUCAGAGGAUGUCUUUUGCUGUUUGAUGCUCACGUGUAAAACGUGAGGCAGGAUUCGUGGAAGGCUUUAACAGGCAGGUGCACACACAUUGGCUGCCUGCUUGUCAGCCUCACAGAGCCUCACAGCACUCUAGGAGCAUGUUUGCGACAGUGCCAUUGCUGUUUGCAGGCAAUACGAAGACCGUCUCUCACUCACCAGCAGCAAGAGUGUGUGACUGACACCAGGCAAGGGGCAUGCGCCAGGCCACCGAGGGUGCUGGCCACAGAUCUUGUCUGGAGAAUAAAAGGAACAGCCAGAUUGCUUUCGGGAGGCAUCUUCUUCCUUUCACAUCCCUGAGAGCGUCUGUUUUGCCUGCGACAGAAAGUCAAGCCUCAGCUGAGGACCUUCUGUGUGGCGCUCUGAUUUCUUUGCCAAGUAGUCUGAUUUUCCCCCCCAGUAAUUUCUAUUUUUAUGCACAGUGACUCUCAAUUGGUGAGAAAAUGAUGAUCACAUAAUCUCUCUUCCUCGAAGCUGCCGAAUGAUUAGCCUCAUUGUUGCGCGUUCCACUCCACGGCCCGGAAAUGACGCCCCUCUCCAACUCCGGCUAAGCAUGUCAGCUAGAUGGGUUUGACCUUUUCCUGGAAAACAAGGGAGAUGAGAACACGUGAUGUGUGCGCAAACUGAUGCUCAAAUGGGCUAUUUUAGCCAACACUUCAAGAUACAUGCUUCGCUAAACUGGCUGAGAACACACCGGAGCGUUUCCAGUGAGGGCCUUUUAAGGCAUUUAAGAGUCUUGCUAUCUUCAAAAGGUACCCUUGGCUUGUUUACACCCUGGAUGAUAAGAAUAAGAAGCUCCGGAUGUGGCGUCAAGAACUUCAGUGCCGCCUCUGUCGUCUGGAUCCCGGUUCAUCUUGAGAAUAGGAGUCAUAUUUUCAACGGCAAAUCAACCAAAUCAAAACUGCCAAGAACAUGUGUAAUAAGAAGGAAGAUGUGUAAUAAGAAGCCACAUCAAAAUGUCCGCAGGGAUUUCCUCUGGGCUGUGACCUGGGGUUGGUCUGUGUCUUCUUGUCUUUUCCUUGCCUGCAAAUUUCAGGCAGGACCAUUUUAUGAGUUAAAAGAGCGGCCCUAACAGUGAGCGCCAGCUGACAUGGUAGGAGGAGCCAUAUGCCAUAG